RNAcentral lists this unclassified non-coding RNA (85 nucleotides) under Pseudomonas fluorescens. The record is from RNAcentral. Lineage: Bacteria; Pseudomonadati; Pseudomonadota; Gammaproteobacteria; Pseudomonadales; Pseudomonadaceae.
UGUGGGUGCUGGCUUGCCUGCGAUGGCGGCGGGUCAGUUGGCGGAUUUUUCACUGAUCGCUAUCGCAGGCAAGCCAGCGCCCACA